GAGUUUGAUCUUGGCUCAGAUUGAACGCUGGCGGCAUGCCUUACACAUGCAAGUCGAACGGCAGCACGGGAGCUUGCUCCUGGUGGGCGAGUGGCGAACGGGUGAGUAAUGCAUCGGAACGUAUCCUGGAGUGGGGGAUAACGUAGCGAAAGUUACGCUAAUACCGCAUAUUCUGUGAGCAGGAAAGCGGGGGACCUUCGGGCCUCGCGCUCUUGGAGCGGCCGAUGUCGGAUUAGCUAGUUGGUGAGGUAAAGGCUCACCAAGGCGACGAUCCGUAGCAGGUCUGAGAGGAUGAUCUGGCCACACUGGAACUGAGACACGGUCCAGACUCCUACGGGAGGCAGCAGUGGGGAAUUUUGGACGAAUGGGGGCAACCCUGAUCCAGCCAUGCCGCGUGAGUGAAGAAGGCC
This 410-nucleotide ribosomal RNA is filed under the name bacterium enrichment culture clone ALO1_GLFRUDD03F3WDD. Its description in RNAcentral is "bacterial SSU rRNA". It matches the Rfam family "Bacterial small subunit ribosomal RNA", at positions 9 to 416 of the family's 1533-position model. The record is from RNAcentral.